UACGAAGGGUGCAAGCGUUACUCGGAAUUACUGGGCGUAAAGCGUGCGUAGGUGGUGAGUUAAGUCUGUCGUGAAAGCCCCGGGCUCAACCUGGGAAUGGCGAUGGAUACUGGCUCGCUAGAGUGCGGUAGAGGAGAGUGGAAUUCCCGGUGUAGCAGUGAAAUGCGUAGAGAUCGGGAGGAACAUCAGUUGCGAAGGCGGCUCUCUGGACCAGCACUGACACUGAGGCACGAAAGCGUGGGAGCAAACAGG
RNAcentral lists this ribosomal RNA (252 nucleotides) under uncultured bacterium. RNAcentral's name for it is "partial 16S ribosomal RNA". It matches the Rfam family "Bacterial small subunit ribosomal RNA", at positions 524 to 776 of the family's 1533-position model. The record is from RNAcentral.